Molecule: ribosomal RNA, 253 nt
Filed under: uncultured bacterium
Lineage: Bacteria
Description: partial 16S ribosomal RNA
Rfam family: Bacterial small subunit ribosomal RNA
Source: RNAcentral
UACGUAGGGUGCAAGCGUUAAUCGGAAUUACUGGGCGUAAAGCGUGCGCAGGCGGUUUUGUAAGUCUGACGUGAAAGCCUCGGGCUCAACCUGGGAAUUGCGAUGGAGACUGCAAGGCUUGAAUCUGGCAGAGGGGGGUAGAAUUCCACGUGUAGCAGUGAAAUGCGUAGAGAUGUGGAGGAACACCGAUGGCGAAGGCAGCCCCCUGGGUCAAGAUUGACGCUCAUGCACGAAAGCGUGGGGAGCAAACAGG